AUGCCGCCACCCUCCCUCCUGCUCUUCCACUGCCGCGCCCCGCUCCCGCACCGCCCACUGCGGAUGAGCUCUCCGUCGCCGAGCAGGAGGGUCGUCUGCUCCGCCUCCACUGCCGAGGGGUACAUCUCCGCGGCGCCGAUCCUCCUUCCAGACGGGCCAUGGAAGCAGGUAGAAGGCGGCGUCACGGCGGCGAAGGGGUUUAGGGCCGCGGGCAUCUACGGCGGCCUGCGCGCCAAGGGACAGAAGCCUGACUUGGCGCUUGUUGCUUGCGACGUCGACGCCACCGUCGCCGGAUCUUUUACAACAAAUGUUGUUGCUGCUGCGCCUGUUCUGUAUUGCAAGCGUGUCCUUAGUUCAUCCAAAACAGCUCGUGCUGUGUUGAUUAAUGCUGGUCAAGCAAAUGCAGCCACUGGUGAUGCAGGAUAUCAGGACGCAGUGGAUAGUGCAGAAGCUGUUGCCAAGCUUUUGAAUGUGAGCACAAAUGACAUACUGAUCCAGUCCACUGGUGUCAUUGGUCAAAGAAUAAAAAAGGAAGCACUUAUAAAUUCACUUCCUAGACUUGUGGGCUCUCUGUCUUCAUCUACUGAAGGUUCAAAUUCUUCAGCUGUGGCCAUCACAACUACAGACCUUGUUAGCAAGAGUAUUGCUGUCCAGACUGAGAUUGGAGGAGUGCCUAUCAAGAUAGGAGGAAUGGCCAAAGGUUCUGGGAUGAUUCAUCCAAAUAUGGCGACAAUGCUUGGUGUUCUCACGACCGAUGCUCAAGUAAGAAGUGAUGUUUGGAGAGAAAUGGUCCGGACAUCAGUUAGUAGAAGUUUCAACCAAAUUACUGUGGAUGGUGAUACAAGUACGAAUGACUGUGUUAUUGCUAUGGCUAGUGGAUUAUCUGGUUUGUCGGACAUCCUCACUCAUGAUAGCGCUGAAGCUCAACAGCUCCAAGCAUGCCUAGAUGCAGUAAUGCAAGGCCUCGCAAAAUCCAUAGCAUGGGAUGGUGAGGGUGCAACCUGCUUAAUUGAGGUUACUGUAACUGGUGCAAAUAAUGAGGCAGACGCAGCUAAAAUUGCUCGUUCAGUGGCAGCGUCCUCCUUGGUUAAAGCUGCUGUAUUUGGGCGAGACCCGAACUGGGGGCGUAUUGCUUGCUCUGUCGGCUAUUCAGGGAUUCAUUUUGAUGCAGAUCAACUUGAUAUUUCCCUUGGAGUUAUUCCACUAAUGAAAAAUGGCCAACCACUCCCUUUUGACAGAUCUGCUGCUAGCAAGUAUCUCAAAGAUGCUGGUGACAUCCAUGGUACAGUAAACAUUGAUGUAUCAGUUGGGAAUGGAGGAGGCACUGGAAAGGCGUGGGGCUGUGAUCUAAGUUAUAAGUAUGUCGAAAUAAAUGCUGAGUACACAACGUGA
RNAcentral lists this ribosomal RNA (1392 nucleotides) under Triticum aestivum (bread wheat). RNAcentral's name for it is "partial small subunit ribosomal RNA". Lineage: Eukaryota; Viridiplantae; Streptophyta; Magnoliopsida; Poales; Poaceae. The record is from RNAcentral.